GGGUCAGAGGCUAACUCAGCUUAGAUUUUUGAGGAACCGCCAGACUGCUUUCCAAAGUGGCUACACCAUUUCACAUUCCCAUUGGCAGUGUAUGUGGGUUCCAGUUUCUCCACAUCCUCCCCAGCGCUUGUCAAAUGUCUUUUUGAUUCUAACCAUCCCACUGGGUGUGGACUGGUGCAGCUCUGUGGUUUUGACUUGUCUUUCUCUAAUAGCUAAUGAUGUGCAACAUCUUACUGCCUAUUUGUAUAUCUUCUCUGGAAAAAUGUUUACUCAGAUCCUUGCCUUUUUUGUGGGGAGGGUGGUCAUUUGUCUCAACUAAAGAGGACUUGCAUCUAGAAUUCAUAAAGCAUUCUUUUUUUUUUUUAAAGAGACAGUGUCUCACUCUGUUGUUGCCCAAGGUGGAACACAGUGGCCAUUCACACGUGUGAUCAUAGCUCACUGCAGCCUCAGAUGCCUGGCCUCAAGCGAUCCUCCCACCUCAGCCCCCUGAGUAGCUAGGACCAUCGGCAUGAGCCACCACGCUUGACUGUUCAUAAAGAAUUCUUUUUUUUUUUUUUUUUAAGAAUUCUUUAGGUAUUCUAGAUACAAGUCCCUUAUGAGAUAUAUUAUUUGUAAAUAUUUUAUCCCAUUUUGUGGACUGUCUUUUUACUUUCUUGAUGGUGUCCUUUGUAGUAUAAAAGUGUCUAAUGAUGUUCAAUGUAUGUACUUUUGUUGCUUGUUUUUUUUGGUGUCAUGUGGAAGAAACCAUUGCCCAAUCCAGGGUUAAGAAGGUUUCUGCCUAGGUUUUCUGCUAAGAGUUUCAUAUUUUAGCUCUUGUAUUUAUGGUGUGAGGUAGGUCUAACUUCAUUCUUUCUUUUGGUGUGUGUGGAUAUCCAGUUGUCCAAGCACCAUUUGUUGAAAAUACUUUUCAUUCUCCAUUGAAUUAUCUUUGGCACCAUAGUUGGAAAAAAAAAAUUAAUUGACCGUAAAUGUGAGGGUUUAUUUCUGGACUCUGAAUUCUUUGCACUCGAUCUAUAUUUCUGUCUUUUGUUUUCUUUUUAAAACUCAUUAAAGAGGAUAUUUACAAAAGUAUGCAUUCAUGAGCCACUGCUUUAAAACUUGUUUAUGGUUUCCUGUAUUUUAUUUCAACCCAUUUUCCAUAAUUACCUCAUUUUGUCUGUCAUGCUGUCUGGAAGGGAGUGCCAGUGGUGAAGUGUGAUGUUAAUGUCCUCAGGAUGGUGAUGUUCCCAUUUUUCAAAGAUUGCUUUGAACACAGAUAGGAAGUAUCUUCUGUUGGCAGUGAUGACAUAAAAUGUUGAAAAUGAAAUAUGGAAGCUUGUGAGUCAAAGAUUUCCUUACCUUAUUUGCAUUUGAAAUGCAGUACCACAAAAAUAUGUUGAAUUAAUGGUUAUAACUUUUUAUUUAAUAAAGUAGACAUUUUAGUACCAUCAAAAAGUAUUCUUUAUGAUUACAUAUCUCUUUAUAGAGUUCCUGAGUUGGAGGUAGAAGAAGAAACCCAAGUUCAAGAGAUGACUUUAGAUGAGUGGAAAAAUCUUCAAGAACAGACCAGACCAAAGCCUGAGUUUAACAUCCGGAAACCAGAAUCCACUGUUCCUUCCAAAGCUGUGGUGAUUCACAAGUCAAAAUACAGAGAUGAUAUGGUAAAAGAUGACUAUGAGGAUGAUUCCCAUGUUUUCCGGAAACCCGCCAAUGACAUCACAUCCCAGCUGGAGAUUAAUUUUGGAAACCUCCCUCGUCCUGGGCGUGGAGCCAGAGGAGGCACCCGGGGAGGCCGGGGAAGGAUCAGGAGGGCAGAGAACUAUGGACCCAGAGCAGAAGUGGUGAUGCAAGAUGUUGCCCCCAACCCGGAUGACCCGGAAGACUUCCCUGCUCUAUCUUGAAAGAGCCCUGUUUCCUAGCACCGCGGAGCUGCACUGCACACCUGUGGGGAGACUUUUCCGGCUGGGCCAAGAGUCAGACUCUAAGAACAAUAGAUAUUGCUUUUCCCGUGUCGUGUAAAUUUGUUGCAGUUUUUCGGGCUGGGCUGUUAGAGGGGCUUCUCCAGAGGCUCGAGAGCAGGCCGUUUCCCAAGAAGGUGAAGAAUGGUGACUGUGUUUUUAUUGAAGGAAUUUCAAAUGAAGAACAGGAAUAAUGUUUAAAAUGUGUACAUAGAGAUAGUAUAGACUCCUCCACGGAAGCAUGGAGGGAAAGGAGGUUGUAAAAUAGACUCCAUGGAGACUCUUAGGAAGCAGUAGAUUCCCGGAGGCUGUGCCUUUAGCAUUAGAGGAAACACAUAGAGCUGGAACUGUUAAUGGAAAGCAGUCACAGCUGAGUUUUCAGAGACCAAGAAAUUAAAAUACAAUUGCACUUACUGUUUACUUGUAAAUGUUAUCUACUCUCCUGGAAUAUUUUGAGUUCUGGUUUUCACUUAAUCAGUCAUUUAAAAAUCGCUAUUGUGUAGCCACUGGCCACCACUCUGUGACACAGAAUCAGAGAAAGCGUUGAUUUUUAAUGGUGAUUUAAACUACCUCGUGGUUUCUGUGUGUGUGCACACACACAUCUAGUGUUUGGGUGAUUUUUAGGAAGAAUAUUAAGUAUAUGACUUCAAAACCCAUGUUAUUUAACCUGCCAAUCAAAUGGAAAGGGAUCAUGGCAAAAGCGAAUACCGCAUCCUUUUCUUCCACAGAACUAGAGUCAAGAGUUUGGCAGCUGUGUACAAAGGCCUCUGCCCUCGGCUCAGGCAAAAGUUGUAAAUAACUAGUAUUUAUUAAGCACUUAUAAGCAGUUUUUCUCACUUAGUCCUGGCUCCAGUUCUGGAGUUCCUCUUUAUUGCUUUUGGUGAAAGUUUGGGUUGGGGGUACACCUCAGAGGUUCAGUAAUUCACCUGGAGUCCCACCCUGAACAGAGCUGGACCCAGAGCCACACACGCCUGGGAACACACACUGUGCUGGGGAGGAAGUGGGCCUAGGAGGGCCUGCAGGUCCAGGCAGCUGUAGAGCUGCUAGAAGCUGGGGUGUUGCUCUCCCCGUUUUCUCAUAGACACAGAGGUACUGUCUGCCUGUUGUCACACAGUUCAUAUGCUCACUUGAGAUGGAAUCUGAACCUUGGUCCCAGGAUCUGUGCUUUUCCCACUUUGCCACACUGUCUAAGGUGGCUUUGAACUGGAACCCAAGUGCAAAUAAAGGUUGGUAUUCGCUCCUGA
RNAcentral lists this small RNA (3181 nucleotides) under Pongo abelii (Sumatran orangutan). Its description in RNAcentral is "processed transcript". Lineage: Eukaryota; Metazoa; Chordata; Mammalia; Primates; Hominidae. The record is from RNAcentral.